This 450-nucleotide ribosomal RNA is filed under the name uncultured bacterium. Its description in RNAcentral is "partial 16S ribosomal RNA". It matches the Rfam family "Bacterial small subunit ribosomal RNA", at positions 338 to 795 of the family's 1533-position model. The record is from RNAcentral.
CCUACGGGGGGCAGCAGUAGGGAAUAUUGGUCAAUGGGUGAGAGCCUGAACCAGCCAUGCCGCGUGCAGGAAGACGGCCUUCUGGGCUGUAAACUGCUUUUAUCUGGGGAUAAAAAGGCCUUGCGAGGCACAUUGAAGGUACCAGAUGAAUAAGCACCGGCUAACUACGUGCCAGCAGCCGCGGUAAUACGUAGGGUGCAAGGAUUGUCUGGGUUUAUUGGGUUUAUAGGCGGUCUAUUAAGUCAGUUGAGAAAUCCAACAGCUCAACUGUUGAUGGGCCAAUGAUACUGAUGGACUUGAGUACAGACGAGGUAGGCGGAAUUGACAGUGUAGCGGUGAAAUGCAUAGAUAUUGUCAAGAACACCGAUAGCGAAGGCAGCUUGCUAGCCUGUAACUGACGCUGAGGCACGAAAGUAUGGGGAUCAAACAGGAUUAGAUACCCGAGUAGUC